UAGAGGCAGCAGUGAGGAAUAUUGGUCAAUGGGCUAGGGCCUGAACCAGCCAAGUCGCGUGAGGGGAGACGGUCCUAUGGAUUGUAAACCUCUUUUGUCGGGGAGCAACGAGGCCACGUGUGGCCGAAGUGAGAGUACCCGAAGAAAAAGCAUCGGCUAACUCCGUGCCAGCAGCCGCGGUAAUACGGAGGAUGCGAGCGUUAUCCGGAUUUAUUGGGUUUAAAGGGUGCGUAGGCGGAACGUUAAGUCAGCGGUAAAAUCGAGGGGCUCAACCCCUUUAAGCCGUUGAAACUGGUGAUCUUGAG
RNAcentral lists this ribosomal RNA (305 nucleotides) under uncultured bacterium. RNAcentral describes it as "bacterial SSU rRNA". It matches the Rfam family "Bacterial small subunit ribosomal RNA", at positions 343 to 646 of the family's 1533-position model. The record is from RNAcentral.